GGUUAAGCGACUAAGCGUACACGGUGGAUGCCCUGGCAGUCAGAGGCGAUGAAGGACGUGCUAAUCUGCGAUAAGCGUCGGUAAGGUGAUAUGAACCGUUAUAACCGGCGAUUUCCGAAUGGGGAAACCCAGUGUGAUUCGUCACACUAUCAUUAACUGAAUCCAUAGGUUAAUGAGGCGAACCGGGGGAACUGAAACAUCUAAGUACCCCGAGGAAAAGAAAUCAACCGAGAUUCCCCCAGUAGCGGCGAGCGAACGGGGAGCAGCCCAGAGCCUGAAUCAGUGUGUGUGUUAGUGGAAGCGUCUGGAAAGGCGCGCGAUACAGGGUGACAGCCCCGUACACAAAAAUGCACAUACUGUGAGCUCGAUGAGUAGGGCGGGACACGUGGUAUCCUGUCUGAAUAUGGGGGGACCAUCCUCCAAGGCUAAAUACUCCUGACUGACCGAUAGUGAACCAGUACCGUGAGGGAAAGGCGAAAAGAACCCCGGCGAGGGGAGUGAAAAAGAACCUGAAACCGUGUACGUACAAGCAGUGGGAGCACAGAGCAAUCUGUGUGACUGCGUACCUUUUGUAUAAUGGGUCAGCGACUUAUAUUCUGUAGCAAGGUUAACCGAAUAGGGGAGCCGAAGGGAAACCGAGUCUUAACUGGGCGUUAAGUUGCAGGGUAUAGACCCGAAACCCGGUGAUCUAGCCAUGGGCAGGUUGAAGGUUGGGUAACACUAACUGGAGGACCGAACCGACUAAUGUUGAAAAAUUAGCGGAUGACUUGUGGCUGGGGGUGAAAGGCCAAUCAAACCGGGAGAUAGCUGGUUCUCCCCGAAAGCUAUUUAGGUAGCGCCUCGUGAAUUCAUCUCCGGGGGUAGAGCACUGUUUCGGCAAGGGGGUCAUCCCGACUUACCAACCCGAUGCAAACUGCGAAUACCGGAGAAUGUUAUCACGGGAGACACACGGCGGGUGCUAACGUCCGUCGUGAAGAGGGAAACAACCCAGACCGCCAGCUAAGGUCCCAAAGUCAUGGUUAAGUGGGAAACGAUGUGGGAAGGCCCAGACAGCCAGGAUGUUGGCUUAGAAGCAGCCAUCAUUUAAAGAAAGCGUAAUAGCUCACUGGUCGAGUCGGCCUGCGCGGAAGAUGUAACGGGGCUAAACCAUGCACCGAAGCUGCGGCAGCGACGCUUAUGCGUUGUUGGGUAGGGGAGCGUUCUGUAAGCCUGCGAAGGUGUGCUGUGAGGCAUGCUGGAGGUAUCAGAAGUGCGAAUGCUGACAUAAGUAACGAUAAAGCGGGUGAAAAGCCCGCUCGCCGGAAGACCAAGGGUUCCUGUCCAACGUUAAUCGGGGCAGGGUGAGUCGACCCCUAAGGCGAGGCCGAAAGGCGUAGUCGAUGGGAAACAGGUUAAUAUUCCUGUACUUGGUGUUACUGCGAAGGGGGGACGGAGAAGGCUAUGUUGGCCGGGCGACGGUUGUCCCGGUUUAAGCGUGUAGGCUGGUUUUCCAGGCAAAUCCGGAAAAUCAAGGCUGAGGCGUGAUGACGAGGCACUACGGUGCUGAAGCAACAAAUGCCCUGCUUCCAGGAAAAGCCUCUAAGCAUCAGGUAACAUCAAAUCGUACCCCAAACCGACACAGGUGGUCAGGUAGAGAAUACCAAGGCGCUUGAGAGAACUCGGGUGAAGGAACUAGGCAAAAUGGUGCCGUAACUUCGGGAGAAGGCACGCUGAUAUGUAGGUGAAGCGACUUGCUCGUGGAGCUGAAAUCAGUCGAAGAUACCAGCUGGCUGCAACUGUUUAUUAAAAACACAGCACUGUGCAAACACGAAAGUGGACGUAUACGGUGUGACGCCUGCCCGGUGCCGGAAGGUUAAUUGAUGGGGUUAGCGCAAGCGAAGCUCUUGAUCGAAGCCCCGGUAAACGGCGGCCGUAACUAUAACGGUCCUAAGGUAGCGAAAUUCCUUGUCGGGUAAGUUCCGACCUGCACGAAUGGCGUAAUGAUGGCCAGGCUGUCUCCACCCGAGACUCAGUGAAAUUGAACUCGCUGUGAAGAUGCAGUGUACCCGCGGCAAGACGGAAAGACCCCGUGAACCUUUACUAUAGCUUGACACUGAACAUUGAGCCUUGAUGUGUAGGAUAGGUGGGAGGCUUUGAAGUGUGGACGCCAGUCUGCAUGGAGCCGACCUUGAAAUACCACCCUUUAAUGUUUGAUGUUCUAACGUUGACCCGUAAUCCGGGUUGCGGACAGUGUCUGGUGGGUAGUUUGACUGGGGCGGUCUCCUCCUAAAGAGUAACGGAGGAGCACGAAGGUUGGCUAAUCCUGGUCGGACAUCAGGAGGUUAGUGCAAUGGCAUAAGCCAGCUUGACUGCGAGCGUGACGGCGCGAGCAGGUGCGAAAGCAGGUCAUAGUGAUCCGGUGGUUCUGAAUGGAAGGGCCAUCGCUCAACGGAUAAAAGGUACUCCGGGGAUAACAGGCUGAUACCGCCCAAGAGUUCAUAUCGACGGCGGUGUUUGGCACCUCGAUGUCGGCUCAUCACAUCCUGGGGCUGAAGUAGGUCCCAAGGGUAUGGCUGUUCGCCAUUUAAAGUGGUACGCGAGCUGGGUUUAGAACGUCGUGAGACAGUUCGGUCCCUAUCUGCCGUGGGCGCUGGAGAACUGAGGGGGGCUGCUCCUAGUACGAGAGGACCGGAGUGGACGCAUCACUGGUGUUCGGGUUGUCAUGCCAAUGGCACUGCCCGGUAGCUAAAUGCGGAAGAGAUAAGUGCUGAAAGCAUCUAAGCACGAAACUUGCCCCGAGAUGAGUUCUCCCUGACUCCUUGAGAGUCCUGAAGGAACGUUGAAGACGACGACGUUGAUAGGCCGGGUGUGUAAGCGCAGCGAUGCGUUGAGCUAACCGGUACUAAUGAACCGUGAGGCUUAACCUU
This 2906-nucleotide ribosomal RNA is filed under the name Escherichia coli. RNAcentral describes it as "23S ribosomal RNA". It matches the Rfam family "Bacterial large subunit ribosomal RNA". RNAcentral also lists the same sequence under 1 other name. The record is from RNAcentral. Lineage: Bacteria; Pseudomonadati; Pseudomonadota; Gammaproteobacteria; Enterobacterales; Enterobacteriaceae.